Molecule: long non-coding RNA, 259 nt
Filed under: Capsicum annuum
Lineage: Eukaryota; Viridiplantae; Streptophyta; Magnoliopsida; Solanales; Solanaceae
Description: long non-coding RNA (CANN_LNC001248)
Source: RNAcentral
UUUGUGUGCUUUCCUCUGCUUUAUAUUCCUGCAUUCCUGUUUUACUCUGUUUUAUAUUCCUUAUGGGUGCCGUAUCUAUGUUAUGUCAUCUGCUUCUGUGCUGUACUAUGUGUUUGUGUGAUAUCUCGUGACUUGAGCCGGGGGUCUUUCGGAAACAGCCUUUCUACUUCAUCAGAGGUAGAGGUAUGGACUGCGUACAUCUUACCCCCCCCAGACCCCACUAAGUGGGAAUACACUGGGUUUGUUGUUGUUGUUGUUG